Molecule: ribosomal RNA, 739 nt
Filed under: uncultured fungus
Lineage: Eukaryota; Fungi
Description: SSU rRNA
Rfam family: Eukaryotic small subunit ribosomal RNA
Source: RNAcentral
UGCGGUCCUAUUUUGUUGGUUUCUAGGAUCGCCGUAAUGAUUAAUAGGGAUAGUCGGGGGCAUCAGUAUUCAAUUGUCAGAGGUGAAAUUCUUGGAUUUAUUGAAGACUAACUACUGCGAAAGCAUUUGCCAAGGAUGUUUUCAUUAAUCAGUGAACGAAAGUUAGGGGAUCGAAGACGAUCAGAUACCGUCGUAGUCUUAACCGUAAACUAUGCCGACUAGGGAUCGGGCGAUGUUUCUAUCUUGACUCGCUCGGCACCUUACGAGAAAUCAAAGUUUUUGGGUUCUGGGGGGAGUAUGGUCGCNNGGCUGAAACUUAANGAAAUUGACGGAAGGGCACCACCAGGCGUGGAGCCUGCGGCUUAAUUUGACUCAACACGGGGAAACUCACCAGGUCCAGAUGAAAUAAGGAUUGACAGAUUGAGAGCUCUUUCCUGAUUUUUCAGGUGGUGGUGCAUGGCCGUUCUUAGUUGGUGGAGUGAUUUGUCUGCUUAAUUGCGAUAACGAACGAGACCUUAACCUGCUAAAUAGCCAGGCUAGCUUUGGCUGGUCGCCGGCUUCUUAGAGGGACUAUCGGCUCAAGCCGAUGGAAGUUUGAGGCAAUAACAGGUCUGUGAUGCCCUUAAAUGUUCUGGGCCGCACGCGCGCUACACUGACAGAGCCAACGAGUUCCCUCCUUGUCCGAAAGGUCUGGGUNAUCUUGUUUAACUCUGUCGUGCUGGGGAUANAACAUUGCAAU